Molecule: long non-coding RNA, 589 nt
Organism: Cannabis sativa
Lineage: Eukaryota; Viridiplantae; Streptophyta; Magnoliopsida; Rosales; Cannabaceae
Exons: 2
Source: RefSeq, a predicted model, not a curated record
GGUUCGGGCCCGAAAUCUAAAUUUGAUUGAUUUAUUUGGCAUUAUUAUUUAUGGGUGAUAAUCUGAAUUUUUAUUUGAAAAUAAUUGAGUAUGAAUUUACUUGAAUGCCCUUGUAUGUGUGAAUAGGUGAAAAAUUGGCCUUAGGGGCAAAAUGGUCAUUUGACCUUUAUUUUCUAUAUUUGGUAAAAGCUGAUUUUUUAGAGAAGUAAAUGAAUUUCUGGUUUUUGUAUCCCUCACACCCGACCCCUCUCUCUCUCUCUAACCCUUUCUUUUAGAAAUCUUGAUUUUGAGAAAAAAGGGCUUGAUUUGGUGUAGCUUUGUGGAUGUUCUUGCUUGGGAAGAACUUGAGGAACUUGUGGAAAGGGUAAGGCAUUAGCUGAUCAGCCAUGAGUUUCAGGAGCAGGGCGAAGAAUGUACAUGUUCAUGCCACUUCAGACCAAGCGGGUUAUGGGUCUAACAGUGUUGACUUUUGUAUUCUGUUUUGCCGCUUAGGUCGGCUAGUAAGAAAGAACUUGUAAUAAUUUUGUAAAUAUUUUUGGGAUCCCAACUAUGUUUGAAAAAGUUUAAAUAUAUUACAAGUUUAUUUUCA